Molecule: long non-coding RNA, 1202 nt
Organism: Nicotiana attenuata
Lineage: Eukaryota; Viridiplantae; Streptophyta; Magnoliopsida; Solanales; Solanaceae
Exons: 2
Source: RefSeq, a predicted model, not a curated record
GUAUUGGUCAAUCGGUUAUAAUUAUUUUUGAAGGUAACGUAAGCUUAAUUCUAAGUGCUGACCCAUUUAACUAUUUUCUAGCGAUAUGACAUGAUUUAUCAUUAGAAGUACCAGCUUCAAUCUCUCAAAAGGGGUGAUUAUCUAUAUGCGUAAAAUAAAGGAGUUCGCUGAUUAUCUUCAAGUUAUUGAUCGUGUUCUAACUGAUUCCGAGCUUCUGCUUUAUGCCUUGAAUGGGUUGCCACCAUCAUAUGAAUCCUUCAUCAUCAUGGCUUCUAAUCAAAUACCCCCUCCAUCUUUUUUCAGAACUUUGGAGACGACUUCUAACACAAGAAACACGUCUUGAACAUCUUUAUGAUAUCCCAACUUCCUCAUCAUCAACGGCUCUUGUUACAACCAAUAUACCAAAAGCUGAAGUUUCUCCAGUCAUUACAUCCUUUUCUCGUGGUAAUGGACGAUCAGGUCGCGUGGGACGUAAUGGUGGUCGUUGGUAGAAUCGUGGUCGAGGUGGUAGGUUCUCUAAUUUUGGUCGAGGAUAUAGUGCACCAGUUAGUAAUUCUACAGGUUCUCAGUCUUUCAUGUCUUGUCCAGCAUGUGGUCGUGGAUUACUUGGACCUCCACACUCUCAAACCUCUGUUAUCCCUUCCUUUGUUUAUCCUAAUCCCACACAAGCUCUAGACACAAUGUCAAAUCUGUCAAAAUUUUGGUCACGUGGCGUUGGAUUGCCCUCAUCGUCGCAAUUAUUCAUAUACAUCUUCAGAUUUUUCACGACAAUUUGCAGGUUUUUCCCUUCAAGAUUCACCAAGCCAGGCUUGGUAUCUGGACAGUGGAGCUAGCUCCCACAUGACUUAUGAUCAGGGAUUUGAAGACUGGUAGAUUACUUCUCACAUGCCUCAGUGAUACUCCUAUUUAUCCCCUGGUGGCUUCUUCAUCAAAGUUCAGUCCGUCCUUUUCCAGUAUCGCAUUCUCAUCCGCUCUCUUCGCAUCUCGUGAAUCAAUUGAUACUUGGCUUUCCCGACUUGGUCAUCCUGGAGUUGUUGUUCUAAAUUUCUUGCUUUCUAGUAAAUUUAUUUCCUUUAGUAGAAAUAAUAAAAGGCAAUAUUAUUGUCCUUCUUGCCUAGUUUCAAAACAUGCUACUUUGCCAUUUCUUGUUAGUCACUUUAAAUCAAACUAUUAUUUAGAUUUAAUUCAUUCCGAUGUAUGGA